AAACGUAAGGGAAAACUCAGUUAAACCCAGAUUAGCAUAAUAUAAGCCUUAUAGUUCCUUGUAAUACCGUCUUCCGUGCUCUUCCACCGAUCAUCAAAUCAAUAUUCGAAGAGAGUUUUAAAAUAGUGUAUAGGGAUCAUUAUGUUCUGCGAGUAUUCUACUGAAUGUAGCCUAAGUCUGUGAAUCUAGUUGUUUUCUUGACAGCGAAGCUUGUGGCAUCGCAUCUUGAUCUAGAAGUCAGAUGAACAUCUUUUAAACUGGUUGUUAAGAGUGUUGGUGAAGGAGACGAUGUAAAUACUAAAAGAAACCAAUAUGCUUAUUAAACUGCCCCCACCCUCUCCCAAAUUUCUUUUUGGUUGUUGUUGCACAGCGCAUUAGGCCAGGCUAAGCAAAAGGCGAGCAUAAGGUCUACAUUAUUUUGGCUGGACUUUACAGUUUUAGCGGUCUUUGUAGGACGAAUGACAAAAUCUGGAACUUCCCGAUGGCGACGGGAGAAGCUAACAAGUCGAGGAUUACUCUGCCUUGGUUACUCGUGAUGCCAGACCUGUUGUUUUCUUGAGUAAAUUUUAAAGAAUUGAAGUCUUGUUUCUAUUUGCAGUUGAUUCUGGACGUCUAAGAUACAAACAUAGUGAAUGUGAAUGGAGUUACUAGCAGCUCUGUAUGAAAUUCUGGAUUCGUGAGUGGUAAGUUCACUUCUUUUUUAUUUAUCAACAGAUUUGUUGCACGUUUAGUGCUGUUCUUGUCGAAAAUGAAUUUAUCCUGAUGUUGUGAGAUAAUGGAAAAGUGUCUAGUUUUUUUCCAAUCCAGUGAGGCAUAUUUUAUGUGCUGUCUGUCUUGCUCGUGUCAAAAGAUCACGGUGACUUUGUUGAGUCUCUAAUCAGAGGUCUUGCGUUUGUUUUCUCUCUCUACUUUGGUUAUUGGCAUUGGAUACUUUUUGCAUCAAGUUCAAGAGAGAAGGAUGACGUCUACUACUGUUACAAAGGGAAAACACAAAUCAACGGUUUGUGUUCAAGUUCCUUUUAAUCAUUGCUGUGUGUUUUAAAAUUGAUGAAACACAGUGUGCGUUUUUGUCUGCUCACUGCUACGUGAACAACUGAAGAUGGGGAGUAGUGUAGUAUUUGAACUUGAGGUAAAUACGACUGUCAUUUAAGUUUCAUUAGGAAGAGAUCUGUCUCACUUAAUGCGCCCUUACUUGCAUGCCAUUAAUUGUAACAUAGCUUUAACACUCAUAAUGCAUUUAUGUCUCCACUAUAGAAUUGUCUUUGAGGACUUCUCCUUUGUUCUAAAAGUAGCAUUGACGUAGUUAAGGCGAGGAAUUCUCGACCUUUGAGAUUUCAGGCUCACGGCCAUACGUACACGUACAUAAUGUAUACACCAUUGUUCUGUGACUGGCGACCUAUAUAGUGCUGAACCCCAUCUGGAUGUCAUUACUCCCGUACUCUUUGCUGUCGUGUUUUAAACGUACGAUUCUCCCCGCCGCUCUCGUCCUCUUUUUGCUUCCUCCUCUACUCAUGCUGGGCUUGUUGUUUGGGCGAUCUGGUGUGGUGCAUGCUCCUUCUCUGCAUUACAUUAUUUUGGCUGGACUCAACUGGACUGUACAGGUUUAGCGGUCCUUGCAGGACGAAAUAAAUCAGUCGUAAUUUAUUCCUUGCGAAGUGUGGCCGUUGUCAUGCUGGCUGUUUGUAUUACUUAAUCUCCAUUCUUCCGCCUCCCCCUUCCCCCUCCUCCUCCUCCUCUUCCUCCUCCUUGUCGUCGUCGUCGUCGUCCUCCACCUCCUCCUCCUCUGUCCUUUAUCUCCGUGUGCUAGCCACUACUAUAUUAUUAUAUCAGAUCACUACAACUGUCAUGACGGACACACGUAGGAGCGCCGUACAACCGAUAUUAUGAUGUCUGUUAUGUCGUAGCGCGCAGCUGGAGUAGCUGAAGAAUGUAUCCGGGUUAUUGAGUCUUUUCUGGGAAGAGCAAGCCAGAAAAGUAAAUGCUGUGUGUGAUAUUGUGUAGACAGACAAUGGUCACGUGAAAAUACA
Aplysia californica (California sea hare) is the source of this 2027-nucleotide long non-coding RNA. RefSeq lists it as uncharacterized. The record is from RefSeq and is a predicted model, not a curated record. The transcript is spliced from 2 exons. Lineage: Eukaryota; Metazoa; Mollusca; Gastropoda; Aplysiida; Aplysiidae.